Molecule: unclassified non-coding RNA, 300 nt
Filed under: uncultured Clitocybe
Lineage: Eukaryota; Fungi; Basidiomycota; Agaricomycetes; Agaricales; Tricholomataceae
Description: partial contains 5.8S ribosomal RNA, internal transcribed spacer 2, and large subunit ribosomal RNA
Rfam family: 5.8S ribosomal RNA (bases 1-52)
Source: RNAcentral
AACGCACCUUGCGCUCCUUGGUAUUCCGAGGAGCAUGCCUGUUUGAGUGUCAUUAAAUUCUCAACCUUUUCAGCUUUUGCGAGUUGGAUUGGCUUGGAUGUGGGGGUUUGCGGGCUUCUCAGGAGUCGGCUCCUCUUAAAUGCAUUAGCGGAACCUUUGUGGACCAGCUUUGGUGUGAUAAUUAUCUACGCCAUGGUUGUGAAGCAGCUUUACAUGGGGUUCAGCUUCUAACCGUCCAUUAACUUGGACAAAUUUUGACAUUUUGACCUCAAAUCAGGUAGGACUACCCGCUGAACUUAA